UGAUGGCUGUUCUUCUCACUGCUUGGAGCCUUCGGUAGUGGGAUUUUAGUCCAUCAGAUAUUUAAGCUGACUUAUCUUCACUCAGGGCACCAUGGGGAUGGGUUGGCUGUCCGUUAGUGCCUUCUGAUUUUUGCAGAGUCAAACAAUU
Manis pentadactyla (Chinese pangolin) is the source of this 148-nucleotide small nucleolar RNA. RefSeq annotates it as small nucleolar RNA SNORA79. The record is from RefSeq and is a predicted model, not a curated record. NCBI's taxonomy places the organism in Eukaryota, Metazoa, Chordata, Mammalia, Pholidota, Manidae. The transcript has a single exon.